This is a long non-coding RNA of Pyrus x bretschneideri (Chinese white pear), 557 nucleotides long. RefSeq lists it as uncharacterized. The transcript has 3 exons. The record is from RefSeq and is a predicted model, not a curated record. NCBI's taxonomy places the organism in Eukaryota, Viridiplantae, Streptophyta, Magnoliopsida, Rosales, Rosaceae.
GUCCUCUGAUUCUUCAGUGCAACGGGGCUCUGUACCUUUUCUGAUGUCUGUGGCCGGUUGGCCGGGCAGGCUUCCUCCAAUGGGGUACGGUUCUGUUAUUUUGCCAUUCAUUCACUCAAAAUUCCAAAAAUCGAAUAUAGUAAAAUAGUAGAUCAAAUUCAUUAAUGUUAUCUUAACAGCUGUUUAAUAGAUUUAUAUGUUUGUUUUUAUGAUUUUUUUUUUUUUGCAUGCUUGAUUUUAUGAAUUUUUACUGUUUGUUUUGUUAAUUGCAGAUUUACAGUGUUUGAUUGAUUUCGGUGAGGUGGUUGUUCAUCUGUUUUUUCUGUUAACAGUGCUUACCACCUGUUUGAGAAAAGCAGUAGCAGCUGCAGGAACUACAACAGUAGCAGCUGCUGUGAUUCUAGAUGGAUGAAGAGGAGUGGGGUUAUAUUGAAGUCAGACCCGUAAGCAAUUUACUCAUAUAUACUGUAUAUAUUGUAUGGAAUAAGAGAUGUUAAUUUUCAUAGAAUUUUUGUUCAUUUUUUGUUUAGGUAUUGUAUUUACACAGAAGUGCAUAU